AUUUAUUUACAGUUCACAGAUUACAGGCUAGUUCCCAGCUUGGGGAAAAUCGUUUAGUAUAUUACAAAAGCAAAAGCUCUUCAAUCAAUUAAAGUUUAAAUACAAUUAUUAUUUCAAUCUUUUGUAAAUGAUGUACACGUCUUUGCUCCCCACCUCUCCACUCCACUUCUCCACUCCACCAACUUCCCCACCACACUCAACUAUCAGCCACCACCCUUUUUCUCCACCAAACUUUCCACUUAUUUCCUUCCCCACCACACGCAAUAAUGCAAUACUCACUCUCAGCUCAUUCACAGAGUACCAAAGAACAAUCCCAGCUUGUUCCUGCCAAGUUCUCAAGGUAAGCUUGCCUUAAUGUUUCCACCUUUCUUCCAUUUGCAACCUGCAUUUAUUGAAAGAAACAAGUAUGAUUUAUUUCAGAGCUAUUCCAGUUCUUUUAACUCAACAUCACAGCAGCCAACCAAGCCCAAAACAUUCGCAAGGUCAAGCGCGAGAGUAAGAACUACACAAGGAGUUAGAGUACCUUAGCAAAACUUUGCUAUCAGGUUGAGUUGUGAUGGGCGAUGAAGUGUUGCUGAGUGGAGUUUUUGUCGAACCUAAAGUAGGCUCAGAAAGGAUACAUGUCUUCAUACAUGUAUCUCAGUUAUGCAUUCCGCUAUAAUCACUGAUUAUUUCAGUUACGCCUUCCGUUGCAAACUCUGAUAAUGUUUUAGCCAAGCCCCUAACGAUGCCUUUUUCCUUUUAAGGAAUAUAACGCUUAUACAAGUUCGUUGAGUACCCUUUUUAUGCG
Long non-coding RNA from Salvia miltiorrhiza (redroot sage), 790 nucleotides. RefSeq lists it as uncharacterized. The record is from RefSeq and is a predicted model, not a curated record. The transcript has 3 exons. NCBI's taxonomy places the organism in Eukaryota, Viridiplantae, Streptophyta, Magnoliopsida, Lamiales, Lamiaceae.